UGAAAUUCUAACUAUUUUUUCCACAAAAAAGAAGAAAUUGGACUAUUUUCAGAGCUCAUAGCCUGCUAUGCAUUUUAUUCUUGGAGACUAUGGAGUGUUUAUCAACUCAACUCAACUAACUGUUAUUCCCAAACUAUUUGAUUGGUUAUAGAAAAACUAGCUAUUUUAAUAAUUCCUUGUAUGGAUUGUUUUUGUGAUAAAGUUAUGUAAUUAUUCAAAACAACCUAAAAGUGGAUUGCUAAUGUAAUUUUCUAUUUGGUUAGCUUAUAUUAGCUUCCCUAUAUUGGCAGACUAGUACAGCUACCUAUCAUUUAAUAAGACAUAAUAUUUGGUGGGGGCCUUUGAUCCAUACUUAUUCUAAUUGAUAACCAUAAUUUUUAUUUUCAACUGAAAUGAAAGAAUCGAGCUUGCAUGCUACUGGGCUAGUAGUUGACCGGUGGGGAAUCCACCUUAUUGAAGGAAGUUAGGGGUUCAAACCUUAACAAUCCUCUCUCCUUUCCCUUUUUAGGUCCAAUAUAUCUUUCAGGGUAUAAACUUUGGGUGCUUUUGGUGGACAGGGAUGG
Molecule: unclassified non-coding RNA, 563 nt
Filed under: Hevea brasiliensis (rubber tree)
Lineage: Eukaryota; Viridiplantae; Streptophyta; Magnoliopsida; Malpighiales; Euphorbiaceae
Source: RNAcentral